CGGUAACAGGUCUUCGGAUGCUGACGAGUGGCGAACGGGUGAGUAAUGCAUCGGAACGUGCCCAGUCGUGGGGGAUAACGCAGCGAAAGCUGUGCUAAUACCGCAUACGAUCUAUGGAUGAAAGCGGGGGACCGUAAGGCCUCGCGCGAUUGGAGCGGCCGAUGUCAGAUUAGGUAGUUGGUGGGGUAAAGGCUCACCAAGCCAACGAUCUGUAGCUGGUCUGAGAGGACGACCAGCCACACUGGAACUGAGACACGGUCCAGACUCCUACGGGAGGCAGCAGUGGGGAAUUUUGGACAAUGGGCGCAAGCCUGAUCCAGCAAUGCCGCGUGCAGGAAGAAGGCCUUCGGGUUGUAAACUGCUUUUGUACGGAACGAAACGGUCUUGGUUAAUACCUGGGGCUAAUGACGGUACCGUAAGAAUAAGCACCGGCUAACUACGUGCCAGCAGCCGCGGUAAUACGUAGGGUGCAAGCGUUAAUCGGAAUUACUGGGCGUAAAGCGUGCGCAGGCGG
This 514-nucleotide ribosomal RNA is filed under the name uncultured Paenibacillaceae bacterium. RNAcentral's name for it is "bacterial SSU rRNA". It matches the Rfam family "Bacterial small subunit ribosomal RNA", at positions 67 to 578 of the family's 1533-position model. Lineage: Bacteria; Bacillati; Bacillota; Bacilli; Caryophanales; Paenibacillaceae. The record is from RNAcentral.